AGGAUGAACGCUAGCGGCAGGCUUAACACAUGCAAGUCGAGGGGCAUCGGGAGUAGCAAUACUGCCGGCGACCGGCGCAAGGGUGCGUAACGCGUGAGCAACAUGCCCGUAUCAGGGGGAUAAUCCAUGGAAACGUGGUCUAAUACCCCAUAGUAAUUAUGUAAGGCAUCUUAUAUAAUUUAAAGCUUUGGUGGAUACGGAUUGGCUCGCGUGACAUUAGCUGGAUGGUAAGGUAACGGCUUACCAUGGCUACGAUGUCUAGGGGUUCUGAGAGGAAGGUCCCCCCACACUGGAACUGAGACACGGUCCAGACUCCUACGGGAGGCAGCAGUGAGGAAUAUUGGACAAUGGAUGGAAAUCUGAUCCAGCCAUGCCGCGUGCAAGGGAAGACGGCCCUAUGGGUUGUAAACUGCUUUUGUAUGGGAGCAAUAAGGGCUACGUGUAGUCCGAUGAGAGUACCAUACGAAUAAGCACCGGCUAACUCCGUGCCAGCCGCGGC
RNAcentral lists this ribosomal RNA (499 nucleotides) under uncultured bacterium. RNAcentral describes it as "bacterial SSU rRNA". It matches the Rfam family "Bacterial small subunit ribosomal RNA", at positions 26 to 518 of the family's 1533-position model. The record is from RNAcentral.